UGACCUCAAAUCAGGUAGGAUUACCCGCUGAACUUAAGCAUAUCAAUAAGCGGAGGAAAAGAAACUAACAAGGAUUCCCCUAGUAACUGCGAGUGAAGCGGGAAAAGCUCAAAUUUAAAAUCUGGCAGCCUUUGGCUGUCCGAGUUGUAAUCUAGAGAAGUGCUAUCCGCGCUGGACCGUGUACAAGUCUCCUGGAAUGGAGCGUCAUAGAGGGUGAGAAUCCCGUCUUUGACACGGACUGCCAGGGCUUUGUGAUGUGCUCUCGAAGAGUCGAGUUGUUUGGGAAUGCAGCUCAAAAUGGGUGGUAAAUUCCAUCUAAAGCUAAAUAUUGGCGAGAGACCGAUAGCGAACAAGUACCGUGAGGGAAAGAUGAAAAGAACUUUGGAAAGAGAGUUAAACAGUACGUGAAAUUGCUGAAAGGGAAACGCUUGAAGUCAGUCGCGUUGUCCAGGGAUCAACCUUGCUUUUGCUUGGUGCACUUUCUGGUUGACGGGUCAGCAUCAAUUUUGACCAUUGGAAAAAGAUUAGGGGAAUGUGACAUCUUAGGAUGUGUUAUAGCCCUUGGUUGCAUACAAUGGUUGGGAUUGAGGAACUCAGCACKCCGCAAGGCCGGGUUUUAACCA
RNAcentral lists this ribosomal RNA (623 nucleotides) under Cortinarius ceraceus. RNAcentral's name for it is "eukaryotic LSU rRNA". It matches the Rfam family "Eukaryotic large subunit ribosomal RNA", at positions 1 to 619 of the family's 3401-position model. Lineage: Eukaryota; Fungi; Basidiomycota; Agaricomycetes; Agaricales; Cortinariaceae. The record is from RNAcentral.